UACGUAGGGUGCGAGCGUUGUCCGGAAUUAUUGGGCGUAAAGGGCUCGUAGGCGGUUUGUCGCGUCGGGAGUGAAAACUCAGGGCUUAACCCUGAGCCUGCUUCCGAUACGGGCAGACUAGAGGUAUGCAGGGGAGAACGGAAUUCCUGGUGUAGCGGUGAAAUGCGCAGAUAUCGGGAGGAACACCAGUGGCGAAGGCGACUACCUGGCCUGUUCUUGACGCUGAGGCGCGAAAGCUAGGGGAGCAAACGGG
RNAcentral lists this ribosomal RNA (253 nucleotides) under uncultured bacterium. Its description in RNAcentral is "partial 16S ribosomal RNA". It matches the Rfam family "Bacterial small subunit ribosomal RNA", at positions 524 to 776 of the family's 1533-position model. The record is from RNAcentral.